This 171-nucleotide ribosomal RNA is filed under the name Trigonopsis variabilis. RNAcentral's name for it is "partial 18S rRNA". It matches the Rfam family "Eukaryotic small subunit ribosomal RNA", at positions 1484 to 1653 of the family's 1831-position model. The record is from RNAcentral. Lineage: Eukaryota; Fungi; Ascomycota; Trigonopsidomycetes; Trigonopsidales; Trigonopsidaceae.
GGGCCGCACGCGCGCUACACUGACGGAGCCAGCGAGUAUAUAACCUUGUCCGAGAGGUCAUGGGUAAUCUUGUGAAACUCCGUCGUGCUGGGGAUAGAGCAUUGCAAUUAUUGCUCUUCAACGAGGAAUUCCUAGUAAGCGCAAGUCAUCAGCUUGCGUUGAUUACGUCCC